RNAcentral lists this ribosomal RNA (497 nucleotides) under uncultured bacterium. RNAcentral describes it as "partial 16S ribosomal RNA". It matches the Rfam family "Bacterial small subunit ribosomal RNA", at positions 28 to 507 of the family's 1533-position model. The record is from RNAcentral.
GAUGAACGCUGGCGGCGUGCCUAAUACAUGCAAGUCGAGCGAACAGACGAGAAGCUUGCUCCUCUGACGUUAGCGGCGGACGGGUGAGUAACACGUGGAUAACCUACCUAUAAGACUGGGAUAACUUCGGGAAACCGGAGCUAAUACCGGAUAAUAUAUUGAACCGCAUGGUUCAAUAGUGAAAGACGGUUUUGCUGUCACUUAUAGAUGGAUCCGCGCCGCAUUAGCUAGUUGGUAAGGUAACGGCUUACCAAGGCAACGAUGCGUAGCCGACCUGAGAGGGUGAUCGGCCACACUGGAACUGAGACACGGUCCAGACUCCUACGGGAGGCAGCAGUAGGGAAUCUUCCACAAUGGGCGAAAGCUUGACGGAGCAACGCCGCGUGAGUGAUGAAGGUCUUCGGAUCGUAAAACUCUGUUAUUAGGGAAGAACAAAUGUGUAAGUAACUAUGCACGUCUUGACGGUACCUAAUCAGAAAGCCACGGCUAACUACGUG